This 424-nucleotide ribosomal RNA is filed under the name uncultured bacterium. Its description in RNAcentral is "partial 16S ribosomal RNA". It matches the Rfam family "Bacterial small subunit ribosomal RNA", at positions 359 to 774 of the family's 1533-position model. The record is from RNAcentral.
GAAUAUUGGACAAUGGGGGGAACCCUGAUCCAGCCAUGCCGCGUGUGUGAAGAAGGCCUUUUGGUUGUAAAGCACUUUACGCGAGGAGGAGGCGCUCUUGUUUACUACCCACGAUGCUUCGACGUUCCUCUCAGAAUAAUCACCGGCUCACUCUGUGCCCUCCGCCGCGGUAAUACAGAGGGUGCAAGCGUUAAUCGGAUUUACUGGGCGUAAAGCGCGCGUAGGUGGCCAAUUAAGUCAAAUGUGAAAGCACCGAGCUUAACUUGGGAAGUGCAUUCGAUACUGGUUGGCUAGAGUAUGGGAGAGGAUGGUAGAAUUCCAGGUGUAGCGGUGAAAUGCGUAGAGAUCUGGAGGAAUACCGAUGGCGAAGGCAGCCAUCUGGCCUAAUACUGACACUGAGGUGCGAAAGCAUGGGGAGCAAACA